This 1164-nucleotide ribosomal RNA is filed under the name Pseudarthrobacter scleromae. RNAcentral describes it as "bacterial SSU rRNA". It matches the Rfam family "Bacterial small subunit ribosomal RNA", at positions 56 to 1231 of the family's 1533-position model. The record is from RNAcentral. Lineage: Bacteria; Bacillati; Actinomycetota; Actinomycetes; Micrococcales; Micrococcaceae.
UGCAGUCGAACGAUGAUCCCAGCUUGCUGGGGGAUUAGUGGCGAACGGGUGAGUAACACGUGAGUAACCUGCCCUUAACUCUGGGAUAAGCCUGGGAAACUGGGUCUAAUACCGGAUAUGACUCCUCAUCGCAUGGUGGGGGGUGGAAAGCUUUAUUGUGGUUUUGGAUGGACUCGCGGCCUAUCAGCUUGUUGGUGAGGUAAUGGCUCACCAAGGCGACGACGGGUAGCCGGCCUGAGAGGGUGACCGGCCACACUGGGACUGAGACACGGCCCAGACUCCUACGGGAGGCAGCAGUGGGGAAUAUUGCACAAUGGGCGAAAGCCUGAUGCAGCGACGCCGCGUGAGGGAUGACGGCCUUCGGGUUGUAAACCUCUUUCAGUAGGGAAGAAGCGAAAGUGACGGUACCUGCAGAAGAAGCGCCGGCUAACUACGUGCCAGCAGCCGCGGUAAUACGUAGGGCGCAAGCGUUAUCCGGAAUUAUUGGGCGUAAAGAGCUCGUAGGCGGUUUGUCGCGUCUGCCGUGAAAGUCCGGGGCUCAACUCCGGAUCUGCGGUGGGUACGGGCAGACUAGAGUGAUGUAGGGGAGACUGGAAUUCCUGGUGUAGCGGUGAAAUGCGCAGAUAUCAGGAGGAACACCGAUGGCGAAGGCAGGUCUCUGGGCAUUAACUGACGCUGAGGAGCGAAAGCAUGGGGAGCGAACAGGAUUAGAUACCCUGGUAGUCCAUGCCGUAAACGUUGGGCACUAGGUGUGGGGGACAUUCCACGUUUUCCGCGCCGUAGCUAACGCAUUAAGUGCCCCGCCUGGGGAGUACGGCCGCAAGGCUAAAACUCAAAGGAAUUGACGGGGGCCCGCACAAGCGGCGGAGCAUGCGGAUUAAUUCGAUGCAACGCGAAGAACCUUACCAAGGCUUGACAUGAACCGGAAACACCUGGAAACAGGUGCCCCGCUUGCGGUCGGUUUACAGGUGGUGCAUGGUUGUCGUCAGCUCGUGUCGUGAGAUGUUGGGUUAAGUCCCGCAACGAGCGCAACCCUCGUUCUAUGUUGCCAGCGCGUUAUGGCGGGGACUCAUAGGAGACUGCCGGGGUCAACUUCGGAGGAAGGUGGGGGACGACGUCAAAUCAUCAUGCCCCUUAUGUCUUGGGGUUCACGCAUGCUACAAU